RNAcentral lists this ribosomal RNA (460 nucleotides) under uncultured bacterium. RNAcentral's name for it is "partial 16S ribosomal RNA". It matches the Rfam family "Bacterial small subunit ribosomal RNA", at positions 338 to 795 of the family's 1533-position model. The record is from RNAcentral.
CCUACGGGAGGCAGCAGUGAGGAAUAUUGGUCAAUGGGCGCGAGCCUGAACCAGCCAAGUCGCGUGAGGGAGGACGGCCCUACGGGUUGUAAACCUCUUUUGCCGGGGAGCAACGUGCGCCACGUGUGGCGUCCCUGAGAGUACCCGGAGAAAAAGCCUCGGCUAACUCCGUGCCAGCAGCCGCGGUAAUACGGAGGAUGCGAGCGGUCUCCGGUUUUAUUGGGUUAAAGGGGUGCGUAGGCGGAGCGUUAAGUCAGUGGUCAAAUUGAGGGGCUCAGGCCUUUCCCGCCAUUGAAACUGGCGUUCUGGAGUGGAAGAGAAGUAGGCGGAAUGCGUGGUGUAGCGGUGAAAUGCAUAGAUAUCACGCAGAACCCCGAUUGCGAAGGCAGCAUGCCGGCUUCCGACUGACGCUGAAGCACGAAAGCGUGGGGAUCGAACAGGAUUAGAUACCCCAGUAGUC